This 500-nucleotide ribosomal RNA is filed under the name uncultured bacterium. RNAcentral's name for it is "partial 16S ribosomal RNA". It matches the Rfam family "Bacterial small subunit ribosomal RNA", at positions 29 to 523 of the family's 1533-position model. The record is from RNAcentral.
AUUGAACGCUGGCGGAAUGCUUUACACAUGCAAGUCGAGCGGCAGCGCGGGGCAACCUGGCGGCGAGCGGCGAACGGGUGAGUAAUGCAUCGGAACAUGUCCAGUCGUGGGGGAUAGCCCGCCGAAAGGCGGAUUAAUACCGCAUACGCCCGGGAGGGGAAAGCGGGGGACCUGAAAGGGCCUCGCGCGAUCGGGUUGGCCGAUGUCCGAUUAGCUAGUUGGCGGGGUAAAGGCCCACCAAGGCGAUGAUCGGUAGCUGGUCUGAGAGGAUGAUCAGCCACACUGGGACUGAGACACGGCCCAGACUCCUACGGGAGGCAGCAGUGGGGAAUUUUGGACAAUGGGGGCAACCCUGAUCCAGCCAUUCCGCGUGAGUGAAGAAGGCCUUCGGGUUGUAAAGCUCUUUUGUCCGGAGCGAAACGGUUGUGGUGAACAGCCACGACUACUGACGGUACCGGAAGAAUAAGCACCGGCUAACUACGUGCCAGCCGCCGCAGUAA